Small nuclear RNA from Trichechus manatus latirostris (Florida manatee), 161 nucleotides. RefSeq annotates it as U1 spliceosomal RNA. The transcript has a single exon. The record is from RefSeq and is a predicted model, not a curated record. Lineage: Eukaryota; Metazoa; Chordata; Mammalia; Sirenia; Trichechidae.
AUACCUACCUGGGAGGGGAAAUAUCGUGAUCAUGAAGGUGGUUUUCCCAGGGCAAGGAUCAUCCAUUAUACUGAGGAUGAGCUGACCCCUGCAACUUCCCCAUACAUGGGAAACUUUAUUGCAUAAUUUGUGCUAGGGGGGACUGUUUGUGCUUUCCCCUG